UUAGUGAAAAAAUUAGAACUUAACAGACUUUGACAUUAAGAUCUAUCCACCAACCGGCACUACAGUUAAGGAGAGAAAAGCCCCUUAGUUCUGUUCUGUGUUUGUUAAUUAGCAUUCUUGUUUUCCUUUUCUUUCUUUUCUUUUGCAGUCACUCAAAAUAUAUCCUUUUUCUCCAGCUCCCCAAAGAUUCUCAUCUUCUGUCCCUUACUUUUAGGUGGGUUCUUAAUCUUUUUCUCUUUUAAUUCCAUGCAUGUAUUAUCUUAUUAUUUGAUCUUGUUAUGUGAUCUGUACAUGAUGGAAAUAAAUGGGUUAAAAUAAAGCAAAAUGGGUGUGGGAGAUUUAUGUAGUUGACCCCAAUUAGUAUAGUUUGAGAUUAAAGGGUAGUUGUUGCUGUUGUUAUUGUGUGAUCUGUGGUUGGAUCUGUUUAUGUUCUUCUUUUAAUCCAAUUUUAGGUGUGUAAUUGAUUGGUAACUAACUAUAGUAUGUAUUUCUUGUGAUAAAGUUUCCAUCUUCGUAUAAUUUCAUGCUUCUGUUGGUUCCUAGUAAAGCUGUCAAGAAGAGAAAUUGAUCUGGG
This 574-nucleotide long non-coding RNA is filed under the name Nicotiana benthamiana. RNAcentral's name for it is "long non-coding RNA (NBEN_LNC002489)". Lineage: Eukaryota; Viridiplantae; Streptophyta; Magnoliopsida; Solanales; Solanaceae. The record is from RNAcentral.